GUGGCUCGUGGUCAGGGCACCGGUACCCCACCCGUGUCUAUCUACUCUUUGUUGCUUUGGCAGGCCGUGGUCUCCACGGCGGGCUUUGCCCGCUUGCGCCUGCCAGAGGACCAAACUCUGAAUUUUAGUGAUGUCUGAGUACUAUAUAAUAGUUAAAACUUUCAACAACGGAUCUCUUGGUUCUGGCAUCGAUGAAGAACGCAGCGAAAUGCGAUAAGUAAUGUGAAUUGCAGAAUUCAGUGAAUCAUCGAAUCUUUGAACGCACAUUGCGCCCGGUGGUAUUCCGCCGGGCAUGCCUGUUCGAGCGUCAUUAUAACCACUCAAGCCUGGCUUGGUAUUGGGGUACGCGGUCCCGCGGCCCCUAAAAUCAGUGGCGGUGCCGGUUGGCUCUAAGCGUAGUAAUACUCCUCGCUACAGACCCCUUCCGGUUCCCUGCCAGAACCCCCCAUUUUUUACAGGUUGACCUCGGAUCAGGUAGGGAUACCCGCUGAACUUAAGCAUAUCAAGAACGGGAGGAAGGCUCAUUAAUAAUGAUACCGGGCAACCGGUAACCCACCCGUGUCUAUCUACUCUUUGUUGCUUUGGCAGGCGGUGGUCUCCACGGGGGGCUUUGCCCGCUUGCGCCUGCCAUAGGACCAAACUCUGAAUUUUAGUGAUGUCUGAGUACUAUAUAAUAUUUAAAACUUUCACACGGAUCUCUUGGUUCUGGCAUCAUGAAAAGCAGCGAAAUGCUAUAAUAAUGUGAAUUGCGGAAUUCGUGGAUCAUCAAUCUAUGACGCCAUUGCGCCGCGGGUAUUCGCAGGCAUGCGUUAUCAGGCCUCUUAUUACACUCGUCCGGACUGGUAUUGGGAUUACUGCGUGCCGGACCCUAAAAUCGUAGGCGUGCUGAUGGAUCAAUCGUAGUAUACUCGUCCGUCGAACCCUUCGGUCUGCAGACCCCAUUUUAACGGUGGACCCUCGACAAGGGGAUACGUUGAAUAUAACAUACUAUGC
Molecule: ribosomal RNA, 993 nt
Filed under: Acephala sp. WGS11780
Lineage: Eukaryota; Fungi; Ascomycota; Leotiomycetes; Helotiales; Mollisiaceae
Description: eukaryotic LSU rRNA
Rfam family: 5.8S ribosomal RNA (bases 157-310)
Source: RNAcentral